Callithrix jacchus (white-tufted-ear marmoset) is the source of this 102-nucleotide Y RNA. It matches the Rfam family "Y RNA". Rfam says of the family: Y RNAs are components of the Ro ribonucleoprotein particle (Ro RNP), in association with Ro60 and La proteins. The Y RNAs and Ro60 and La proteins are well conserved, but the function of the Ro RNP is not known. NCBI's taxonomy places the organism in Eukaryota, Metazoa, Chordata, Mammalia, Primates, Cebidae. The record is from Ensembl.
GGCUGGUCCAAGUGAAGUGAUAUUUACAACUAAUUGAUCAUGACCAGUUACAGGUUUCUUUCUUUCUUCUCCACUCCCACUGCUUCACUUGACUAGCCUCUU